This 246-nucleotide ribosomal RNA is filed under the name uncultured bacterium. Its description in RNAcentral is "partial 16S ribosomal RNA". It matches the Rfam family "Bacterial small subunit ribosomal RNA", at positions 111 to 354 of the family's 1533-position model. The record is from RNAcentral.
UAACGCGUGGGGCAACCUGCCUCAUACAGGGGGAUAGCAUCGGGAAACUGGUGGUAAAACCGCAUAAGCGCACGAAGACGCAUGUAUUCGUGUGAAAAGGAGAAAUCUGGUAUGAGAUGGACCCGCGUCUGAUUAGCUAGUUGGAGUGGUAAAAGCACACCAAGGCGACGAUCAGUAGCCGGCCUGAGAGGGUGGACGGCCACAUUGGGACUGAGACACGGCCCAGACUCCUACGGAAGGCAGCAG